Molecule: ribosomal RNA, 1635 nt
Filed under: Triticum aestivum (bread wheat)
Lineage: Eukaryota; Viridiplantae; Streptophyta; Magnoliopsida; Poales; Poaceae
Description: partial small subunit ribosomal RNA
Source: RNAcentral
AUGCGUCUGAUCUCUUAUUUCGGUAUCUCCCCGGUCCAUUCUUCUUCCCUCCCAAAUCCCACGCCCCAACCCAAAUCAAACCCAACCCGCCGUUCCUCUCCGCCAAAAACUCCACAAAAGCAAAGCCGCAUCCCCCACCCAAAUCCAACCCCACAGGCUAAACCCCGCCACGCCCGCCCGCCGGUCCCCAUGGACUCCUCCUCCACCUCCGGGUCCGGGGCCGCCGUCGCAGGGCCCGAGCCGACGUCAAGCCGCCGCGCCAGCUACGGCCCGGUCCUCGAGGACGAGCCGCCGCGCCUCCGCUUCACCGUCGGGCAGUACCCGACCAGGUUCCCGCUGGCGGACGCCCCCGGCUUCAUCUCCUCCAUCGGCGCCGCCCUCGCCCGCCACGCCGACGCCGACGCGCAGGUCGAGCCGCUCGAGAUCUCCCUCGUCUUCCGCGCCCCGCACCAGCACUACAUCGCCAGCCUCGGCGCGUACGCCACGGAGCACCCCCACGCCGCGCUCGUCACGGCCGACCACGUCCGCGCGUGGCUGCGCUUCGGCAUGGCCCGCGCCGCGGGUUCCUUCGUGCUCGAGCUGCCACCACGCCCGCGGUCGACGACCGAGGAGAGCGCGUCGGGUGCGGCGGCGGAAGCAGAGAAGAACGGCGUGGCUCUGGAGCUGCCGCGCUCGGCCGCGUCGGCGAUCGUGGCGCUGACCCUGGGCGACGCCACCCUCGCGCUCCCCGCGCCCGCGGACGCCUCGUUCCACGCGCUCGCGGAGCUGCUGCUCAGCAACGCCCGGAUCAGCGACCAGCACCGCCUCAGCGGGCUCCUCUCGUCCCCGUCCUUCCCUCGCCUGAAGAGGCUUCGGCUCGAGCACCUGGCGGGCGUGGGGGAGCUGGACCUCUGCGUCGGCGACCUCGAGGAGCUGGCGAUCGUGGGCGUGCGCGACCUGUGGUGCCUGCAGGUGAGCGCGCCACGCCUGCGCGCGCUCCGCGUCACCGAGUGCUUCAGGCUGGAGUCCAGCGCAGGGGAGCUGGCGAUCGCCGCGCCGGCGCUCGAGGCGCUCACGUGCUCCAGCAUGUGCAGGAUGCAGGGCCUGCAGUUCGACAGCGGGCCGUCCGUUCGGGAGAUCGGGGGGCUUCCCCUGUGGACGCACGGGCACGCCAACCAUGCCGCCCGCAACGAGGCCGCCAUAUCGAUCCCGAAGCAAUGCACCGCCGCGCACCGCCUUAACCUGGACCUACAUGUGCCCAGCUAUAUGAGGGAGGCCCUGGUGGAUGGUAUGGAUUCAGGGAUGGCGGAUUGUGAGAGCAUACUAGUGGAUGACAUACCACAGCUACUUAACAUCACUGCUCUGAGGGUCAAUAUCUCAACAUGGAAGGGGCAUUCAUAUGCUGCCAGUUUGGCAAGGCUCAUUGCACAGUGCAGCAAUCUGGAAGAUCUCCGCAUUGAAGUCACGAGAGGCACCGAGAAGCCGGCAUGCUUGGAUCGAGCUUGCGUCUGCCACGACGAAGACGGCUGGGAGAACCAGCAGCUCUCACUGGAGCGCCUUGUACACUUGAACAUCACCGGGUUCCAGGGACUGGACUACGAGGAGCGCCUGGCUCAGAUGAUACUGGCAGGCACCCCAGCUCUCAAGAGAGAAUGA